GACGAACGCUGGCGGCGUGCUUAACACAUGCAAGUCGAACGGUAAGGCCCUGCUUUUGUGGGGUGCUCGAGUGGCGAACGGGUGAGUAACACGUGAGUAACCUGCCCUUUACUUUGGGGUAACUUCAGGAAACUGGGGCUAAUACCGGAUAGGAGCUCCUGCUGCAUGGUGGGGGUUGGAAAGUUUCGGCGGUUGGGGAUGGAAUCGCGGCUUAUCAGCUUGUUGGUGGGGUAGUGGCUUACCAAGACUUUGACGGGUAGGCGACAUGAGAGGGUGACCGGCCACAUUGGGACUGCGAUACGGCCCAGACUCCUACGGGACGCAGCAGGCGGGAAUAUUACGCAAUGAGCGGAAGCCUGAUACAGCAGCGCCGCGUGCGGGAUGACGUCCUUGGGGUUGUAAACCGCUUUCGCCUGUGACGAAGCGUGAGUGACGGUAAUGGGUAAAGAAGCACCGGCUAACUACGUG
RNAcentral lists this ribosomal RNA (468 nucleotides) under uncultured bacterium. Its description in RNAcentral is "partial 16S ribosomal RNA". It matches the Rfam family "Bacterial small subunit ribosomal RNA", at positions 28 to 507 of the family's 1533-position model. The record is from RNAcentral.